Molecule: ribosomal RNA, 495 nt
Filed under: uncultured bacterium
Lineage: Bacteria
Description: partial 16S ribosomal RNA
Rfam family: Bacterial small subunit ribosomal RNA
Source: RNAcentral
GACGAACGCUGGCGGCGUGCCUAAUACAUGCAAGUAGAACGCUGAAGGAUGUGUUUGCUUCUCUGGAUGAGUUGCGAUCGUGUGAGUAACGCGUAUGUAACCUGCCUGGUAGCUGGGGAUAUCUAUGGGAAACGAUAGCUAAUACCGCAUAAGAGGUGUGGUGGCAUGACAUUUGCUUAAAAGGUGCUAUGUUUGUUCACGCAGAUGUGUCGGUGUUGUAUUAGCUAGUUGGUGGGGUAACGGCUCACCAAGGCGACGAUACAUAGCCGACCUGAGAGGGUGAUCGGCCACACUGGGACUGAGACACGGCCCAGACUCCUACGGGAGGCACCAGUAGGGCACAUUCGGCAAUGGACGGAAGUCUGACCGAGCAACGCCGCGUGAGUAAAGAAGGUAGUCGGAUCGUAAAGCUCUGUUGUAAGAGAAGAACAAAAAAGAGAGUGGAAAGUUCACACUGUGACGGUAUCUUACCAGAAAGGGACGGCUAACUACGUG